GAUGAACGCUGGCGGCGUGCCUAAUACAUGCAAGUCGAGCGAACGGACGAGAAGCUUGCUUCUCUGAUGUUAGCGGCGGACGGGUGAGUAACACGUGGAUAACCUACCUAUAAGGCUGGGAUAACUUCGGGAAACCGGAGCUAAUACCGGAUAAUAUUUUGAACCGCAUGGUUCAAAAGUGAAAGACGGUCUUGCUGUCACUUAUAGAUGGAUCCGCGCUGCAUUAGCUAGUUGGUAAGGUAACGGCUUACCAAGGCAACGAUGCAUAGCCGACCUGAGAGGGUGAUCGGCCACACUGGAACUGAGACACGGUCCAGACUCCUACGGGAGGCAGCAGUAGGGAAUCUUCCGCAAUGGGCGAAAGCCUGACGGAGCAACGCCGCGUGAGUGAUGAAGGUCUUCGGAUCGUAAAACUCUGUUAUUAGGGAAGAACAUAUGUGUAGGUAACUGUGCACAUCUUGACGGUACCUAAUCAGAAAGCCACGGCUAACUACGUG
Molecule: ribosomal RNA, 497 nt
Filed under: uncultured bacterium
Lineage: Bacteria
Description: partial 16S ribosomal RNA
Rfam family: Bacterial small subunit ribosomal RNA
Source: RNAcentral